Molecule: transfer RNA, 72 nt
Filed under: Marmota marmota marmota (Alpine marmot)
Lineage: Eukaryota; Metazoa; Chordata; Mammalia; Rodentia; Sciuridae
Also listed under: 1 other name
Rfam family: tRNA
About the family: Transfer RNA (tRNA) molecules are approximately 80 nucleotides in length. Their secondary structure includes four short double-helical elements and three loops (D, anti-codon, and T loops). Further hydrogen bonds mediate the characteristic L-shaped molecular structure. tRNAs have two regions of fundamental functional importance: the anti-codon, which is responsible for specific mRNA codon recognition, and the 3' end, to which the tRNAs corresponding amino acid is attached (by aminoacyl-tRNA synthetases). tRNAs cope with the degeneracy of the genetic code in two manners: having more than one tRNA (with a specific anti-codon) for a particular amino acid; and 'wobble' base-pairing, i.e. permitting non-standard base-pairing at the 3rd anti-codon position.
Source: Rfam by way of RNAcentral
UGGGGUGUAGCUCAGAGGUAGAGCACUCGCCUAGCAUGCGUGAAACACUGGGUUCGAUCCUCAGCACCACAU